Molecule: non-coding RNA, 21 nt
Filed under: Caenorhabditis elegans
Lineage: Eukaryota; Metazoa; Nematoda; Chromadorea; Rhabditida; Rhabditidae
Source: RNAcentral
UUCCGUUUUGUUUUUACUCGC